Alligator mississippiensis (American alligator) is the source of this 373-nucleotide long non-coding RNA. RefSeq lists it as uncharacterized. Lineage: Eukaryota; Metazoa; Chordata; Crocodylia; Alligatoridae. The record is from RefSeq and is a predicted model, not a curated record. The transcript is spliced from 2 exons.
GGGGCGCACCUGCCCCGCCUCCGCCUCCCGCAGGGGCCGGGCAGUGCCGGGCAGAGCCCGCCCGCGGGACAGCACAGGACGGGGCGGGACGGGACCGGGAGAGGGAGCCGGGCUGUCCUGUGUCAGACCGGCUGAGCGCGGCGCUGGGGGAAGCGGCCGGCGAGCUGCCCCCUCGGCAUCACUUUGAUCCAUACAGCUGCAGCGGCCUCUGGUGACCAAUGUGGGAACUGCUGAUCAUAUUGUGGGAGUACCCAGCAUCCAGACCCGUCCUAGGCUGUGAUACAAACCACAAAAUGAGCACAACAACCUACACAAAUUUGGCAUAUCUGUUAUGCAUUAUACUUUAACUGAUAAAGAAUGGUUUUUAACUAUA